AUCCCAUAAACCGUGGCUCAGUUCAGAUCGUAGGCUGCAACUCGCCUACGUGAAGGAGGAAUCGCUAGUAAUCGCAGGUCAGCAUACUGCGGUGAAUACGUUCCCGGGCCUUGUACACACCGCCCGUCACACCAUGGAAGUUGGCCACGCCCGAAGCCGUUACUCCAACCCUCGGGAGGAGGACGUCGAAAGUGGGGCUGAUGACUGGGGUGAAGUCGUAACAAGGUAUCCGUACCGGAAGGUGCGGAUGGAUCACCUCCUAA
Molecule: ribosomal RNA, 263 nt
Filed under: uncultured cyanobacterium
Lineage: Bacteria; Bacillati; Cyanobacteriota
Description: partial 16S ribosomal RNA
Rfam family: Bacterial small subunit ribosomal RNA
Source: RNAcentral